CGAAAGGAGCAGGACUGCGAGCGCACGCAGCAAGCCAGCAUGCUGGCCGACGUGGCCCAGGCUUUUGAGAGUGAUGAGAGCGUGUCUGACGACGAGGGCGACAGGGUCACCCUCUUCAGCUCAGCCACUCAGCUGUCGCCCAGCAGGCAGGCCAAUGCCAAGACUCUGACCGUGAUGAUGCAGGAGCAGCUGGACAUCAUCAAUGAAGAGAUCCGGUUGAUCGAAGAAGAGAAGGAGAACACGGAGCAGCGGGCCGAGGAGACUGAGAGCAGGGAGGGCAGGGGGAGCUUAGGCAGCCUCCGUCGUUUUAAAUCAGUGAGCUCCCUCAACCUGCUUUCCACCUCCUCGCAUGCUGACUCCUGCCCGCCCCUGCCCAAGCCCAGAAGGAGGCAGCACAGCCUGGUGCAGGAGGGAGACCAGCUGGGCAUCAUGACUCUGGUAUGUGUCUGCCUCCUCCCUGCCGCAUCCCUCCCCCAGCACGCUGUUUUUUGUUUGUUUUUUGUUUUUUCUCUUUAUACCCAGAAGAAAAUCAGGUACAUUUGCUACGCUCAGAGGUCUAAAAGUUUUUAAACUGCCUAGUCUUUAAUCAUUCCACAAUGGCACAGUGACAAAUUAGUCUUGAUAUUUGGACCACCAACUUAGCACGUCAUCAUGAACUCAGCCAGAGCCUGCCUCUGUAACGUUGCACCUGGCCUGUGCUGGGCACAGCAGCUGCAGGGAAGUUUCUGUUCUCAGGGAGCAGACAGCUUCAUGAAAGUAACCAUAGGGAGCUCUCAUGGCAUGGGAAAGCCGUACAGCACAUUCUCCAUUGGGGAUGCCUGGCUACAGGGUGCAGGGCAUGCGGUGGGAACAAAACCAAGAAUCUACACUGGUCUGCUUGUUGAUGGACCUGGCCAUGCGCUCAGUCCAGCUCUGUGUAUGAAACCAGGUUAAAAGCCCAGGGCCCCAGGGCCCCAGGGAAGACGUCGGGCUGCCUCACUUUUCCGAGUCUAAAACUGGGAUGACGACCUAGGGCUUUUGGUGACAGAGUGUGCGGCUCUAAAGCACAUGUUCCAGCUUUCUUGCGUGUUUAGCUUAGGUGUUGUGAGUGUAUUGCUGUUUACCCCGUGAAAUCAUGUGUACAAGAUUCUGCUUUGUAACUGGACUUGUAUUGUCUCUUUUUUCUGUUACCACCCAUUUCAUGUUAGCUGCAUUGUUAGUCAGCUUGUAAUUAAAUUAACCGUGAAUCAUUUUAGCGGCCUGUGAAGUGGUAACUAGUCCACUUUGUGGUCUUUUGACACUGUUUUUAUAAUUUGCAUCAUUGGCUAAUUAGUUGAUAUUUAAAAUUCUUUGAUGAUUUCUCUGCGGAUUCAUGCUUGAUUUCUUUCCAAAUAUUUGGAAAAGAACAAUUCUGUAUGUUUUCCUUGCUGUUGGAGUUCUCUGACAGUGUGUCUGCUUUCAUCACUGGUUUUGAUUCCCUCCCUCAUCCUGUUGUCUGCUUAUUCGUCAUGAAUCCAGAUCCCCCACCAGCCCCCGAGGCUGUAGUUUACCCAUCCAUCUCUCCUCCCCCGUCCCCUCACUUGCUCUGGUCAUAGCCGUGCUGUGGUCCACAGCGUGUGUCCCCUUAGUUGGGUUUGUGCUUUGUCUUCAUGUCUCAUUAAAUGGUGUUUUUCCCCCAUAGCAGUAAGUUGAAUUGGUGUAUCACUAUGCAGUUACAGGAGAAGGCAAUGGCAACCCACUCCAGUACUCUUGCCUGGAAAAUCCCAUGGACGGAGGAACCUGGUAUGCUGAAGUCCAUGGUGUCCCACAGAGUCGGACACGACUGAAGCAACUUAGCAGCAGCAGCACACAGUUAUAAGCAUAAUAUAUGUAGAUGGAUCCUAAACUACAUAUCAUGUGUAAUUCAUAAAUGAGAUUGUGCUUACAUAAAGAAAUGAUCCUCUUAAGUGUAGAAUUAAUGGACUUUUAGAUAUGCAGAUGACAUCACCCUUAAGGCAGAAAGUGAGAGGAACUAGAAAGCCUCUUGAUGAAAGUGAAAGAGGAGAGUGAAAAAGUUGGCUUAAAGCUCGACACGCAGAAAACUAAGAUCAUGGUAUCUGGUCCCAUCACUUCAUAGGAAAUAGAUGGGGAAACAGUGUCAGACUUUAUUUUUUGGGGCUCCAAAAUCACUGCAGAUGGUGACUGCAGCCAUGAAAUUAAAAGGCGCUUACUCCUUGGAAGCAAAGUUACGACCAACAUAGAUAGCGUAUUCAAAAGCAGAGACAUUACUUUGCCACCAAAGGUCCAUCUAGUCAAGGCUAUGGUUUUUCCAGUUGUCAUGUAUGGAUAUGAAAGUUGGACUGUGAAGAAAGCUGAGCAUCACAGAAUUGAUGCUUUUGAGCUGUGGUGUUGGAGAAGACUCUUGAGAGUGAGUCCCUUGGACUGCAAGGAGAUGCAACCAGUCCAUUCUAAAGGAGAUCAGUCCUGGGUGUUCAUUGGAAGGACUGAUGCUAAAGCUGAAACUCCAGCACUUUGGCCACCUCAAGUGAAGAGUUGACGCAUUGGAAAAGACUCUCAGGCUGGGAGGAAUUGGGGGAAGGAGGAGAAGGGGACGACAGAGGAUGAAUGGCUGGAUGGCAUCACCAACUCAGUGGACAUGAGUUUGGGUGAACUCCAAGAGUUGGUGAUGGACAGAGGGUCCUGGCAUGCUGCGAUUCAUGGGGUCACAAAGAGUCGGACACAACUGAGCAACUGAACUGAACUGACACAAUAUCCUUUCUGUGUUGGUGCUUGUAUUUAAGACUGUAAAUCUCAUCAGCUUUUGCACAGUUAAUGUCUCUAUUAGACUCGUUAAAAAAGUAUCUUCUAUUGUUAAUAAAAUGUAAAAACUGCACCUGCUAUUAUGCUAG
Molecule: long non-coding RNA, 2867 nt
Organism: Bos indicus x Bos taurus (hybrid cattle)
Lineage: Eukaryota; Metazoa; Chordata; Mammalia; Artiodactyla; Bovidae
Source: Ensembl